GAUGAACGCUGACAGAAUGCUUAACACAUGCAAGUCAACUUGAACUUCGGUUUGGGUGGCGGACGGGUGAGUAACGCGUAAAGAACUUGCCUCACAGCUAGGGACAACAUUUGGAAACGAAUGCUAAUACCUGAUAUUAUGAUUUUAGGGCAUCCUAGAAUUAUGAAAGCUAUAUGCGCUGUGAGAGAGCUUUGCGUCCCAUUAGCUAGUUGGAGAGGUAACGGCUCACCAAGGCGAUGAUGGGUAGCCGGCCUGGGAGGGUGAACGGCCACAAGGGGACUGAGACACGGCCCUUACUCCUACGGGAGGCAGCAGUGGGGAAUAUUGGACAAUGGACCAAGAGUCUGAUCCAGCAAUUCUGUGUGCACGAUGAAGUUUUUCGGAAUGUAAAGUGCUUUCAGUUGGGAAGAAAAAAAUGACGGUACCAACAGAAGAAGUGACGGCUAAAUACGUG
RNAcentral lists this ribosomal RNA (454 nucleotides) under uncultured bacterium. RNAcentral describes it as "partial 16S ribosomal RNA". It matches the Rfam family "Bacterial small subunit ribosomal RNA", at positions 28 to 507 of the family's 1533-position model. The record is from RNAcentral.